AUACGGGGGAUGCAAGCGUUAUUCGGAAUCAUUGGGCGUAAAGGGCACGCAGGCGGUUCUGUCAGUCAGAUGUGACAGCCCGGGGCUUAACCCCGGACGUGCAUUUGAAACAGCAGGACUUGAGUAUGGUAGAGGAAAGCGGAAUUCCUGGUGUAGAGGUGAAAUUCGUAGAUAUCAGGAGGAACACCGGUGGCGAAGGCGGCUUUCUGGACCAAAACUGACGCUGAGGUGCGAAGGCGUGGGUAGCGAACAGGAUUAGAUACCCCAGUAGUCC
RNAcentral lists this ribosomal RNA (274 nucleotides) under uncultured bacterium. Its description in RNAcentral is "partial 16S ribosomal RNA". It matches the Rfam family "Bacterial small subunit ribosomal RNA", at positions 523 to 796 of the family's 1533-position model. The record is from RNAcentral.